Molecule: ribosomal RNA, 476 nt
Filed under: uncultured organism
Description: partial 16S ribosomal RNA
Rfam family: Bacterial small subunit ribosomal RNA
Source: RNAcentral
CGUACACUCCUACGGGAGGCAGCAGUGGGGAAUAUUGCACAAUGGGCGCAAGCCUGAUGCAGCCAUGCCGCGUGUAUGAAGAAGGCCUUCGGGUUGUAAAGUACUUUCAGCGGGGAGGAAGGCGAUAAGGUUAAUAACCUUGUCGAUUGACGUUACCCGCAGAAGAAGCACCGGCUAACUCCGUGCCAGCAGCCGCGGUAAUCCGGCGGGUGCAAGCGUUAAUCGGAAUUACUGGGCGUAAAGCGCACGCAGGCGGUCUGUCAAGUCGGAUGUGAAAUCCCCGGGCUCAACCUGGGAACUGCAUUCGAAACUGGCAGACUAGAGUCUUGUAGAGGGGGGUAGAAUUCCAGGUGUAGCGGUGAAAUGCGUAGAGAUCUGGAGGAAUACCGGUGGCGAAGGCGGCCCCCUGGACAAAGACUGACGCUCAGGUGCGAAAGCGUGGGGAGCAAACAGGAUUAGAUACCCCGGUAGUCCCA